RNAcentral lists this transfer RNA (98 nucleotides) under Mycolicibacterium insubricum. RNAcentral describes it as "tRNA-Gly". Lineage: Bacteria; Bacillati; Actinomycetota; Actinomycetes; Mycobacteriales; Mycobacteriaceae. The record is from RNAcentral.
CCGCGAGCAGCCAGCACGGCGAGGUCGCGGUCGCCUUCCAGGCGGCCCGGCUGCAGCUGCUGCGGCCCCGGGUGGAUCUGGAGGUCGCCUCCGCGGCC